RNAcentral lists this ribosomal RNA (753 nucleotides) under uncultured Pseudomonas sp. RNAcentral describes it as "bacterial SSU rRNA". It matches the Rfam family "Bacterial small subunit ribosomal RNA", at positions 28 to 776 of the family's 1533-position model. The record is from RNAcentral. Lineage: Bacteria; Pseudomonadati; Pseudomonadota; Gammaproteobacteria; Pseudomonadales; Pseudomonadaceae.
AUUGAACGCUGGCGGCAGGCCUAACACAUGCAAGUCGAGCGGUAGAGAGAAGCUUGCUUCUCUUGAGAGCGGCGGACGGGUGAGUAAUGCCUAGGAAUCUGCCUGGUAGUGGGGGAUAACGUUCGGAAACGGACGCUAAUACCGCAUACGUCCUACGGGAGAAAGCAGGGGACCUUCGGGCCUUGCGCUAUCAGAUGAGCCUAGGUCGGAUUAGCUAGUUGGUGAGGUAAUGGCUCACCAAGGCGACGAUCCGUAACUGGUCUGAGAGGAUGAUCAGUCACACUGGAACUGAGACACGGUCCAGACUCCUACGGGAGGCAGCAGUGGGGAAUAUUGGACAAUGGGCGAAAGCCUGAUCCAGCCAUGCCGCGUGUGUGAAGAAGGUCUUCGGAUUGUAAAGCACUUUAAGUUGGGAGGAAGGGUUGUAGAUUAAUACUCUGCAAUUUUGACGUUACCGACAGAAUAAGCACCGGCUAACUCUGUGCCAGCAGCCGCGGUAAUACAGAGGGUGCAAGCGUUAAUCGGAAUUACUGGGCGUAAAGCGCGCGUAGGUGGUUUGUUAAGUUGGAUGUGAAAUCCCCGGGCUCAACCUGGGAACUGCAUUCAAAACUGACUGACUAGAGUAUGGUAGAGGGUGGUGGAAUUUCCUGUGUAGCGGUGAAAUGCGUAGAUAUAGGAAGGAACACCAGUGGCGAAGGCGACCACCUGGACUGAUACUGACACUGAGGUGCGAAAGCGUGGGGAGCAAACAGG